ACUAAAUAGAUACCCAGGUAGUCCACGCCCUAAACGAUGUCUACUAGUUGUUGGUGGAGUAAAAUCCAUGAGUAAACGCAGCUAAACGCGUGAAGUAGACCGCCUGGGGAGUACGGUCGCAAGAUUAAAACUCAAAGGAAUUGACGGGGCCCGGCACAAGCGGUGGAUUAUGUGGAUUAAAUUCGAUGCAACGACGAAAACCUUAACCUUGGCCGUUGACAUGCCACUAACGAAGCAGAGAUGCAUUAGGUGCCCGUAACGGGAAAGGUGGACACAGGUGCUGCAUGGCUGUCGUCAGCUCGUGUCGUGAGAUGUUGGGUUAAGUCCCGCAACGAGCGCAACCCUUGCCAUUAAUUGCCAUCAUUU
This 366-nucleotide ribosomal RNA is filed under the name uncultured bacterium. RNAcentral's name for it is "bacterial SSU rRNA". It matches the Rfam family "Bacterial small subunit ribosomal RNA", at positions 772 to 1126 of the family's 1533-position model. The record is from RNAcentral.